CCUGUCUCAGCCCUGCUGCUGCGGUUGGUGCACCCAUCUGGGUCCAGACCCAUAGCCACUGGGGGCAGUGGCAUGAGUCUUCACGGAGCGUCUUAUUCUUGAUACUCAUCGUAUUCUCCCUGCCCAGAGGCCCUUGUAGGACAUGUGAAUGCCAGUGCUCAUGGAGAAAGGUGGAGGAAGAGAGCCAGAGCGCAGUUCACCUCUGGGAGAGCAGACCAGAGUGGCUUCCGUGGGCACAUGCUGGAUUGAAGUGA
This is a long non-coding RNA of Pan paniscus (pygmy chimpanzee), 254 nucleotides long. The record is from Ensembl. NCBI's taxonomy places the organism in Eukaryota, Metazoa, Chordata, Mammalia, Primates, Hominidae.